UACGAAGGUGUCUAGCGUUGUUCGGAAUCACUGGGCGUAAAGCGCGCGUAGGCGGCUUUGCAAGUCAGAGGUGAAAUCCUGAGGCUUAACCUCAGCAUUGCCUUUGAAACUGCAGAGCUGGAGUAUUGGAGAGGAGUGCGGAAUUCCUAAUGUAGCAGUGAAAUGCGUAGAUAUUAGGAGGAACACCGAUGGCGAAGGCAGCACUCUGGACAAUUACUGACGCUGAGGCGCGAAAGCGUGGGGAUCAAACAGG
This 253-nucleotide ribosomal RNA is filed under the name uncultured bacterium. RNAcentral's name for it is "partial 16S ribosomal RNA". It matches the Rfam family "Bacterial small subunit ribosomal RNA", at positions 524 to 776 of the family's 1533-position model. The record is from RNAcentral.